GACGAACGCUGGCGGCGUGCCUAAUACAUGCAAGUCGAACGAGAGCAACCGGUGCUUGCACUGGUCAAUCUAGUGGCGAACGGGUGAGUAACACGUGGGUAACCUGCCCAUCAGAGGGGGAUAACAUCCGGAAACGGAUGCUAAAACCGCAUAGGUCUUCGAACCGCAUGGUUUGAAGAGGAAAAGAGGCGCAAGCUUCUGCUGAUGGAUGGACCCGCGGUGCAUUAGCUAGUUGGUGAGGUAACGGCUCACCAAGGCCGUGAUGCAUAGCCGACCUGAGAGGGUGAUCGGCCACAUUGGGACUGAGACACGGCCCAAACUCCUACGGGAGGCAGCAGUAGGGAAUCUUCCGCAAUGGACGCAAGUCUGACGGAGCAACGCCGCGUGAGUGAAGAAGGUUUUCGGAUCGUAAAACUCUGUUGUUAGAGAAGAACAAGUGCUAGAGUAACUGUUAGCGACUUGACGGUAUCUAACCAGAAAGCCACGGCUAACUACGUG
This 498-nucleotide ribosomal RNA is filed under the name uncultured bacterium. RNAcentral describes it as "partial 16S ribosomal RNA". It matches the Rfam family "Bacterial small subunit ribosomal RNA", at positions 28 to 507 of the family's 1533-position model. The record is from RNAcentral.